AACGAACGCUGGCGGCGUGCCUAACACAUGCAAGUCGCGCGCGAAGGGCUUCGGCCUUGUAGAGCGGCGCACGGGUGAGUAACACGUGGAUAAUCUACCCUCAGAUUUGGAAUAACCCAGGGAAACUUGGGCUAAUACCGAAUAAGACCACAAGAUGAAAAUCUAGUGGGAAAAGCGGAGGACCUCUUCGGAGGCUUCGCGUCAGAGGAUGAGUCCGCGUCCCAUCAGCUAGUUGGCGGGGUAAUGGCCCACCAAGGCUAAGACGGGUAGCUGGUCUGAGAGGAUGAUCAGCCACACUGGAACUGAGACACGGUCCAGACUCCUACGGGAGGCAGCAGUGGGGAAUCUUGCGCAAUGGGGAAACCCUGACGCAGCAACGCCGCGUGAGUGAUGAAGGUCUUCGGAUCGUAAAGCUCUGUCGGCAGGAACGAUGGACAAUGUGGCUAACAUCCACGCUGUCUGACGGUACCUGCAAAGGAAGCACCGGCUAACUCUGUGCCAGCAGCCGCAGUAAAAC
RNAcentral lists this ribosomal RNA (517 nucleotides) under uncultured bacterium. RNAcentral's name for it is "bacterial SSU rRNA". It matches the Rfam family "Bacterial small subunit ribosomal RNA", at positions 29 to 526 of the family's 1533-position model. The record is from RNAcentral.